UAUUGGAUUGAGUGGGCCGCUAAUUGGUUCCUGGAAAUAGCCCUCCAUCAGACCGUACCCUAAACCAACACAGGUGGACUGGUAGAGAAUACCAAGGCGCUUGAGAGAACUAUGUUGAAGGAACUCGGCAAAAUACCUCCGUAAGUUCGCGAGAAGGAGGCCCGGUUCCUAGGCAACUAGGGGCUGGGGGCACAAACCAGGGGGUGGCGACUGUUUACUAAAAACACAGG
This 230-nucleotide ribosomal RNA is filed under the name Ochromonas sp. CCMP1393. RNAcentral describes it as "partial Bacterial large subunit ribosomal RNA". It matches the Rfam family "Bacterial large subunit ribosomal RNA", at positions 1579 to 1819 of the family's 2925-position model. Lineage: Eukaryota; Chrysophyceae; Chromulinales; Chromulinaceae. The record is from RNAcentral.